UACGUAGGGGGCAAGCGUUGUCCGGAUUUACUGGGCGUAAAGCGCGUGUAGGCGGCCGAGCAGGUCUGUUGUGAAAACUGGAGGCUCAACCUUCAGACGUCGACAGAAACCGCCCGGCUAGAGUCCGGAAGAGGAGAGUGGAAUUCCUGGUGUAGCGGUGAAAUGCGCAGAUAUCAGGAAGAACACCAAUGGCGAAGGCAGCUCUCUGGGACGGUACUGACGCUGAGACGCGAAAGCGUGGGGAGCGAACAGG
This 253-nucleotide ribosomal RNA is filed under the name uncultured bacterium. RNAcentral describes it as "partial 16S ribosomal RNA". It matches the Rfam family "Bacterial small subunit ribosomal RNA", at positions 524 to 776 of the family's 1533-position model. The record is from RNAcentral.